UACGUACCGUACGAACGUUAUUCGGAGUCACUGGGCUUAAAGGGUGCGUAGGCGGCCAAGAAAGUUAGGUGUGAAAUCCCACAGCUCAACUGUGGAACUGCGCUUAAAACUACUUGGCUCGAGGAGGAUAGAGGUGAGCGGAACUGAUGGUGGAGCGGUGAAAUGCGUUGAUAUCAUCAGGAACACCGGUGGCGAAAGCGGCUCACUGGGUCCUAUCUGACGCUGAAGCACGAAAGCUAGGGGAGCGAACGGG
RNAcentral lists this ribosomal RNA (253 nucleotides) under uncultured bacterium. RNAcentral's name for it is "partial 16S ribosomal RNA". It matches the Rfam family "Bacterial small subunit ribosomal RNA", at positions 524 to 776 of the family's 1533-position model. The record is from RNAcentral.